UUGUAACUAGUGAGACUUCUUUUCUAUAUUUAGAAAUAUUGGGAUAGGAGCAGUUCCUUAAGAUGGUUAUGGGCUGAUAUUUUCUGGGAAGUUGCUGUGAAAAGCUGCUGAGAGCAUGAACUAUCAAUUUCCCACAAAUUCAACGUUUCUUCCAAAUCCUUGCUCACCGUUGAGAUAAGACUCAUGGACUGUAGUUUUGAGGAUGGUUUUGUUACAGAGCUAUAGUUCUGGCUCUUCUGCUUCCCAAGCCCAUGAGAUAUAAAGCACAGGCUGAGCUACAGUCGAAAGAACAAAUCAUCCAAAGCCACAACCUGUGCUUUCCUGGAGAAGGAAGUUUUUCAGAAAUGCAGGGAAAAUGGCUCUCUGCCACAUCUUGCCUGAAGACCAUACAUAUAUCACUGGAGAUCAGAGGAAGAGAUGACACAUGCUGGCAUCAGGCAGGAUUUAUGGAAAACUGCUCCUGUGACAGUCGUCUCCUACAUGACCUCUUGCAGUUCCUUCUAAGACUUCUUUCUUUUACUCCUUGUAAAUAUUCCUGGUGCAGAGGCAUUGAAAUAUUACAAAAAAAUAUUUGUAUACUCAUAAGGCAGAUGGAUGUGCUAAUUUCUCCAUGAGGAGGUAAUUAAAAGUCUCCUCUCCCAAAGCUGAUGGCAUGAAUAGAUGGCAUCUAUUGUUUUUUAUCUAAAAUCAGAUUUUUAUAACAACCUAUUUUUAUUUCAAUAAAAUACAUAUUUCCUUUAAGUAUGCUGUAUAGUCUUCAAAAUAACUUUGC
This is a long non-coding RNA of Cygnus olor (mute swan), 772 nucleotides long. RefSeq lists it as uncharacterized. The transcript is spliced from 4 exons. NCBI's taxonomy places the organism in Eukaryota, Metazoa, Chordata, Aves, Anseriformes, Anatidae. The record is from RefSeq and is a predicted model, not a curated record.